Molecule: ribosomal RNA, 497 nt
Filed under: uncultured bacterium
Lineage: Bacteria
Description: partial 16S ribosomal RNA
Rfam family: Bacterial small subunit ribosomal RNA
Source: RNAcentral
GAUGAACGCUGGCGGCGUGCCUAAUACAUGCAAGUCGAGCGAACGGACGAGAAGCUUGCUUCUCUGAUGUUAGCGGCGGACGGGUGAGUAACACGUGGAUAACCUACCUAUAAGACUGGGAUAACUUCGGGAAACCGUAGCUAAUGCCGGAUAAUAUUUUGAACCGCAUGGUUCAAAAGUGAAAGACGGUCUUGCUGUCACUUAUAGAUGGAUCCGCGCUGCAUUAGCUAGUUGGUAAGGUAACGGCUUACCAAGGCAACGAUGCAUAACCGACCUGAGAGGGUGAUCGGCCACACUGGAACUGAGACACGGUCCAGACUCCUACGGGAGGCAGCAGUAGGGAAUCUUCCGCAAUGGGCGAAAGCCUGACGGAGCAACGCCGCGUGAGUGAUGAAGGUCUUCGGAUCGUAAAACUCUGUUAUUAGGGAAGAACAUAUGUGUAAGUAACUGUGCACAUCUUGACGGUACCUAAUCAGAAAGCCACGGCUAACUACGUG